This 263-nucleotide unclassified non-coding RNA is filed under the name plant metagenome. Its description in RNAcentral is "partial contains small subunit ribosomal RNA, internal transcribed spacer 1, and 5.8S ribosomal RNA". The record is from RNAcentral.
UUUCCGUAGGUGAACCUGCGGAAGGAUCAUUAUUGUAUAACCGAGGUGCGAGGACCGUCGCUGACCCGAAAGGUCGUGCACGCCCGAGUGCCCUCACACACAUCCAUCUCACCCCUAUGUGCACCACCGCGUGGGUCCCCCUUUGGCUUGUUCGGAGGGGGGCUUACGUUUUCACACAAACUUUGUAUGCAGUGUAGAAUGUAUUUUUUGUUUUUGCGAUCACGCAAUCAAUACAACUUUCAACAACGGAUCUCUUGGCUCUC